Molecule: non-coding RNA, 29 nt
Filed under: Mus musculus (house mouse)
Lineage: Eukaryota; Metazoa; Chordata; Mammalia; Rodentia; Muridae
Source: RNAcentral
UGGUCAAGUCUUCAGAGCCUCACUCUGUC